CUGCAAGUAAAGCACUUGCGGCCAUUGAUCAUUUGCCUCCGGAGCAAAAGGUCGGUGGUUCGACUCCACUCGGGCGUACCA
This 81-nucleotide transfer RNA is filed under the name Acidobacteriota bacterium. RNAcentral's name for it is "Acidobacteria bacterium tRNA-Arg". The record is from RNAcentral. Lineage: Bacteria; Pseudomonadati; Acidobacteriota.